CAGGACCUCACGCGCGGCCAGAGAGCGCGCCAUGGUAAAGCCGGGGUGAGCGAUGCGCCAACGGCAGAUGCCAUUCUUGGGCCGGCUGGCCGACGCGCAGUCGGGAUCGGCGAUCGCCAGAUACGUGUUGAUAAAGGUCGCCGUCCUCGUGUCGGCGCGGGCGCCAAUCUGAACGGCACCGUGGACAAUGGCAGCGUGGAGGAUGCCCGCCAUGCGCCAGUCGCUUGGCUUGGUGCGAACCCACGGCGAUUCGGUCGGCUCGGGCGGGAUGGGCACGCAGAGGACGGCACCCGGCACGAGUUGUUCGGCGUCGACCAUUCGCGGCGCCACGUGACCGCGAUUGAUGCGCUCGCACAGCGAAACCAGACGCAGUCCCAGGGCGUCGGCCGAGCGGCGCUUGGCCUCUUUUUGGGCCGUAUCGGUGUCUGUCUCGCCAUCUCUAGAAUUCUCGCUGUCGUCAUCCUCGUCGUUCUUGCCACUGGCAUCCUCGCCAUCCUCGUUGGCUUCCUUUUGUGUCUUGCCAGUGGCCGCUUUGUUCAUCUUGGUCGCCGCCUCAAGGGUUGUUGUCGGUUUGGCUAGGCUGCCCUCUGCAUUGGUUGCGGUGUGGUCGUCGUCAGACUCAUCAGCAUUUGCGGUAUCCUGGGCAUCGAUGGGAUCAUUGGCAAUCACCACAGGACGGCCGUCGUCCAAGAGAUCGCAGAGGACCUGCACCUGGUGCUGCGGCGUCACCCUUACGCCAUGGCCAAAGCGCAGCGCGUCGACGGGCGGCGUGGCCCAAUGCGGGACAAAGGUACUGCCGGCGCCAAUCAGGUAGGUGGACCUGGUCGAGGGCGCAUGUCUGACGACGCUGCGGAGCGGGCACCAACGGCCAUCGUCUGAAAGCACGCGCACGCCCGUUGUGGGCACUACCGACGUCUCGGGUGCAUGGUCUGAACCAUCCGACGCAGGGCCGGUGGCAAUAUCGAUGGCGGCCUCACGGUACAAAAGGCCAAUGGGCACCGGACCACGCUCGGCCGUCAAGACAAGCGUGUCGCCCGAGAAGCACUGGUCGACAUAGCGCGCCGUGUCGUUAAAGACGCGGAGCAUGGGCACGAGGCCGUUGGACUGGCCGUUGGUGCCCGCCACGUAGGCGCCCGCGGCGCGCACCUUGUGUGCGGCAAAGCCGAUGCCGCCGGCCGCCUUGGAAAUGAGCGCGCACUGCUUGAGCGUGUCGUAGAUGCCCUCGAUCGAGUCGGCCUUCAUGUCCAACAGAAAGCACGACGAGUUUUGCGGGCGCGGCGUGCCGGCAUUAAAGAGCGUGGGCGUCGCCGAGGUGAACAACUGCUGCGACAUGGCCUCGUAGGUAGCGAGCACGUGCUCCAGCGCAUUGUCGACGUCGGCAAACCCAUAGUGCCCAAGGGCGACACGCAUGAGCAUGUAUUGGGGCCGUUCGACGACAACGUCGCGCACCUUGGUCAGAUAGGACCGGCGCAUGGUCGCCAGGCCAAAGUACGAGUAGCCAAAGUCUCGACUGUGAUGGAUGGCGGCGUCGAGGACCUCCUUGUGCUCUGCGACAAAGGCCACCAACUCGUCCGAAACCAACGGCACCGGGCGAUCCGUGCGGCGCUCGACAUUGGCGGCCAAGAGGGCGACGGCGUCCGAGAAGCGCGGCGGCGUGGACGCAUGGAGGGCGGUGACGGCCACGCGCGCCGCCAACUUUUCAUAGUCGAGGUGCGACGACGACAGGGCGACGGCGGUCUCGGCCAGCAGGGUGUCGCCCUGCUCGGGCGUCAUGCCCGCGCAGGAGCCCUCGAUGACGCGGCGCACGACAAUGUCGAGAUCAAGGGCGGGAUCGAGCGGUGGGUCCAGGCGGGCCAGCGCCGCCAAUUUGGCCGUCAGCGAGUCACGCUCGCUCGCGGUCGACCCGGCCGCGUGCUUGGCGUCGACCAGACGGGGCAUGACGUCGCCGCCGUCGACGUGGAUGUCGACGGCACAAGGGUCUGAUUGUUUUUGUGGUUGUUGCUGUAGUUGCUGACGGGAAUGCUCCAUCGCGUAGACCCCUCGAUCGAAAAAAAAAUGUGCAAAGGGGAAAAAAGGAUGGCCGAUGGGAUGGGCGGUGUGAUGGAGAAAAGAGGCCACGAGCGAGAAUGACACUGCCGCUUUUUGUGGGCGCACCGAGCGGCGGACCUGCGGGCCUCUUUUGUUCUCGCGCGCACUCGCCCGGUGUUUCGCCGCACCACCGCCCCACCCCGUGCGCCCUCUGCGUUGCCUGCGCUGCCUCUUCUUUUUUCCUCAAUCGUAUGUGCGCUCCCAUUGGUCG
Molecule: long non-coding RNA, 2299 nt
Filed under: Pandoravirus quercus
Description: hypothetical ncRNA
Source: RNAcentral